Molecule: non-coding RNA, 136 nt
Organism: Caenorhabditis elegans
Lineage: Eukaryota; Metazoa; Nematoda; Chromadorea; Rhabditida; Rhabditidae
Source: Ensembl
AAAAAAAGAAGUCAGUGAGGGAGAAAGUGCGAAAACUUUUGGUUUUACUUUUCCAAAAGCCCCAAGUAAUGGGAAAGAAAAACAUAAGGAAUGGCAUGAUGAGAUCUCAGUGGGAUUUCAUUUGUAACUGGUUCCA